GGGGGGGGGGGGGGGGGGGGCGGGGGCGGGGGGGGGGGGGGGGCGGAGGGGAAGCGUGCGGCGCUGGGGUUGGCGGCGGACGGGGGAGUGACACGUGGAUAACCUACCUAUAAGACUGGGGUAACUUCGGGAGACCGGAGCUAAUACCGGAUAAUAUUUUGAACCGCAUGGUUCAAAAGUGAAAGACGGUCUUGCUGUCACUUAUAGAUGGAUCCGCGCUGCAUUAGCUAGUUGGUAAGGUAACGGCUUACCAAGGCAACGAUGCAUAGCCGACCUGAGAGGGUGAUCGGCCACACUGGAACUGAGACACGGUCCAGACUCCUACGGGAGGCAGCAGUAGGGAAUCUUCCGCAAUGGGCGAAAGCCUGACGGAGCAACGCCGCGUGAGUGAUGAAGGUCUUCGGAUCGUAAAACUCUGUUAUUAGGGAAGAACAUAUGUGUAAGUAACUGUGCACAUCUUGACGGUACCUAAUCAGAAAGCCACGGCUAACUACGUG
RNAcentral lists this ribosomal RNA (497 nucleotides) under uncultured bacterium. RNAcentral describes it as "partial 16S ribosomal RNA". It matches the Rfam family "Bacterial small subunit ribosomal RNA", at positions 27 to 507 of the family's 1533-position model. The record is from RNAcentral.